RNAcentral lists this ribosomal RNA (450 nucleotides) under uncultured bacterium. RNAcentral describes it as "partial 16S ribosomal RNA". It matches the Rfam family "Bacterial small subunit ribosomal RNA", at positions 354 to 796 of the family's 1533-position model. The record is from RNAcentral.
GUGGGGAAUCUUCCGCAAUGGACGAAAGUCUGACGGAGCGACGCCGCGUGAGUGAAGAAGGCCUUCGGGUCGUAAAGCUCUGUCAUCAGGGACGAACGGCCGGUGGAGUGGAAAGCCACCGGAUUGUCGGUACCUGAGAAGGAAGCCACGGCUAACUACGUGCCAGCAGCCGCGGUAAUACGUAGGUGGCAAGCGUUGUCCGGAAUUAUUGGGCGUAAAGCGCGCGCAGGUGGGAUCUUAAGUCCAUUUUUAAAGUUCGGAGCUCAACUCCGUGAUGGGAUGGAAACUGGGAUUCUUGAGUACCGGAGAGGAAAGCGGAAUUCCCCGUGUAGCGGUGAAAUGCGUAGAUAUGGGGAGGAACACCAGUGGCGAAGGCGGCUUUCUGGACGGUGUCUGACACUGAGGCGCGAAAGCCAGGGGAGCGAACGGGAUUAGAAACCCGAGUAGUCC